Molecule: long non-coding RNA, 1163 nt
Filed under: Mustela putorius furo (domestic ferret)
Lineage: Eukaryota; Metazoa; Chordata; Mammalia; Carnivora; Mustelidae
Description: lncRNA (ENSMPUG00000029795.1)
Source: RNAcentral
GGAGAAACCGGUGAGGCUGAGCUUCCCAGGAACACCAGCCAACAAGCAAGUGGAUCUGGAAAGAUUGCCUAAGGAUUUAUGGACACCUCUAGUGUCUCCCCCUUUGGGCACAGGACCACCUUCUGCUUCUUUGGCACAUCCACAGGACAUCUAGGCUGCCUCUCUGCACACAGCAGGGACCUGGUUCUAAUUCAGGAAGAGGAAGAUGGAGCCCUGCAAUCUGCAUUUUUAACAAGCCCCUGGGAUCCUGAGGCGCUAGUGGGCACUAGGACCACACAAUUGAACAAACAUCAGCCAAGGCUUUUAGGUACCACCGUGGGACUGCGAGACGCUUGGGGUCCGAAGUCCCAUCUACCUUUUUGAGCCUCGACCCCUGCUCAGUGUGGCUCCAGCCUCUUCCUUGCGUAGCAUUUUAUCCCCUGCCCCUCAGCCCCUACAGUUUCCCUGCACCUAAUUUAGUUUGUUUGCUUGUGUUUCCUGACCUCGCUGGAAUGUUGGGUCUGAUUCUUUCAGAGGGUAAGCUUUUCAUGGGCAUCAGACUGAAUGAACUUUUAGGAUACUUCAAACUGUUGCGCAGUGUGGGAGGAAUUCUGUGACAAAUGACAUUUUCAUUUUAUAGCCGUUCUUCUAGAACCUGCAAUUUGCAAGCACUUCAUUUUCUUUUCUUAAAUGGAGAAGGUCUGAUCUGCGCCUAAACCACUGCCACCAGCCCACCCUCAGUCAGCCCACACAGAGAGCGGGGCUGUCCAUCACUAUGUCUAAUUUUUAGGAAUUGGGGGGGUGCAUUGGUUUACUUAUUUAAUUAAUUAUGGAAAAUAAAUGAGAAAAUGCCCACAUCUUUUUUUCUUUUGGGGUUUAUUUUUCCUUAGCUCAACCCUCCAUCAUAAAAAUGGAAGGUUGACAGGCAAAUAGAUUAUACCAAGAGUCCUCAAUUGGGUAUUUAAUACUGCAUUUUUAAGAGCCAUAUUUUAAAAUUGCUCUGAUAAUACCAGGCACGAUGUCCAUGGCAGUGAGUCAACAGCACCUUCCCUGCGGCCAGCUGCCCUCUGAUAACCCCUGAGAUGCUUACACAGCCCCAGGAAGGAUCAUCAUAGAGCCUUAAUAAGGUAGGAGGCUGAGUGUUGGCGCCGGGAUGCUCUAGAGACAGAAGGCAGGAGCUGGGC